This 3216-nucleotide ribosomal RNA is filed under the name Palmaria palmata (dulse). RNAcentral's name for it is "eukaryotic LSU rRNA". It matches the Rfam family "Eukaryotic large subunit ribosomal RNA". The record is from RNAcentral. Lineage: Eukaryota; Rhodophyta; Florideophyceae; Palmariales; Palmariaceae.
UUGGAUCUCAAAUCAGACAAGAUGACCCGCUGAAUUUAAGCAUAUAACUAAGCGGAGGAAAAGAAACUAACAAGGAUUCCCCUAGUAGCGGCGAGCGAAGCGGGAACAGCCCAAGAUGAAAAUCCCUUCGGGGAGUUGUAGUCUGAGUGUCCUUGGGUGGGUCAGUGCGGGCAAGUCUUCUGGAAUGAAGCGCCAUGGAGGGUGAGAGCCCCGUCCAUCCCGCACAGGAUCCAUUCGUACAAGGACGCUUCAACCGAGUCGGGUAGCUUGGGAAUGCUGCUCUAAUUGGUGGUAAAUCUCAUCAAAGGCUAAAUAGUGGUGGGAGACCGAUAGCGAACAAGUACCGUGAGGGAAAGAUGGAAAGAACUUUGAAAAGAGAGUGAAAAGCACUUGAAACCGUCACGGGGGAAGCGGAUUGCGUGAGUGAUGGUGUCGCUUGUUCAGCGCUUUAUUGCGUGCAUUCUGGCGGCGCCGUGCCGGCGUGGCUGGCUGGACUGUGAUUUUGACAGUCUCGGCUGGUGAGGGCUCCCUCGUAUGAGGUGAGGACGCGGGCAAAAUGACGCAAUACGACCCGUCUUGAAACACGGACCAAGGAGUCUAGCACGGCUGCGAGUCGAAGAGUGAUUAAACUCAAGGGCGCAGUGAAAGCGAAAUUAUAAGCAAAUUGGGGAGGCGUUGCGUUUUUAACAAAAUGUCCUACCUCGAGCAUUUGUGCUGGGACCCGAAAGAUGGUGAACUAUGCCGGAGUAGGGCAAAGCCAGAGGAAACUCUGGUGGAGGCUCGUAGCGAUGCUGACGUGCAAAUCGCUCGUCGAACUUGGGUAUAGGGGCGAAAGACUAAUCGAACCAUCUAGUAGCUGGUUCCCUCCGAAGUUUCUCUCAGGAUAGCGGGCCGACACGCGUUUGUUGUUUUGUGCGGUAAAGCGAAUGAUUAGUGCAUUUGGGGUACGAAGUACUUCGGGCGAUUCUCAAACUUUAAAUGCGCAAGGGGGUGGCUGCUUAAUUGAGCCUACUCUUUGAAAAACGUCGGCCCUGUGGGCCACUUUUGGUAAGCAGAACUGGCGAUAAGGGAUGAACCUUAAGCGCGGUUAAGGCGCCUCAUUACCCGCUUAUAGACCCCACAAAAGGUGUUGAUUCAUAUAGACAGCAGGACGGUGGCCAUGGAAGUCGGAAUCCGCUAAGGAGUGUGUAACAACUCACCUGCCGAAUGAAUUAGCCCUGAAAAUGGAUGGCGCUAAAGCGGGUAGCCGACACCGCGCCGUUCCGGCGAGACGAGGCCGGGAUGAGUAGGAGGGCGUGGCGGUCAGUGAAGCAGGCUAGGGUGCAGACCCAGCUGAAACGGCCGCUAGUGCAGAUCUUGGUGGUAGUAGCAAAUAUUCAAGCGAGAUCCUUGAAGGGCGAAGCGGGGAAGGGUUCCACGCAAACAUUGAUUGGGCGUGGGUGAGUCGUUCCUAAGCCGAGUGGCAAUUGCUAAGUAGCGGCGAAAGGGAAGCGGGUUAAAAUUCCCGCACACGGAUAUGGAGGCGGCGACGCAAGCAGAGGCGAAUACGCUGGCCGAGGCGCUGGGCAGAGUUGUCUUUUCUGUUUGACCGGCAUCGCGCCGUGUGGAAUCCGCUUAUCGGGAGAAACACGCGCGGGUAUGGGCAGAGCGUCAAGUUUUUUUUGGCGUCCAGCUCGCCUCGGACGGCCCCUGAAAAUUCGCCCGCGAACUUUAAAAAUUUCAUGCUGUGACGUACCGAUAUCCGCAUCAGGUCCCCAAGGUGAACAGCCUCUGCUCAAUAUGAACAAUGCAGGUAAGGGAAGUCGGCAAAAUAGAUCCGUAACUUUGGGAAAAGGGUUGGCUCUAGUGGGAUGAAGGUCUUCAAAGGGGGCUUCGCUGUGCUUGGCGUCUGACGGGAGUGGCUAGCUUUCGGGCUGGAUGCUUCUGUUGGAUUCCUUGCGUGGGGGAUGUUUCUCGCCUUCAGCAUAUCCCAGACUAGAACUGCAACGGGCAAAGGGAAUCCGACUGUUUAAUUAAAACAAAGCAUUGCGAAGGCCGUGGCCGGUGUUGACGCAAUGUGAUUUCUGCUCAGUGCUCUGAAUGUCAAAGUGAAGAGAUUCAAUCAAGCGCGGGUAAACAGCGGGAGUAACUAUGACUCUCUUAAGGUAGCCAAAUGCCUCGUCAUCUAAUUAGUGACGCGCAUGAAUGGAUUAACGAGAUUCCUACUGUCCCUAUCUGCUUCUAGCGAAACCACAGCCGAGGGAACGGGCUCGGCGGAAUCGGCGGGGAAAGAAGACCCUGUUGAGCUUGACUCUAUUCUAAUUUUGUGAAGCAAGUUAGGAGGUGUAGAAUAGGUGGGAGCUUCGGCAACCGUGAAAUACCACUACUCUUAAUCUUGCUUUACUUAGGGCGUGAGGCUGUACGGCCGCAAGGCUUGCUUAUUGCAUCAAGCGUGAUUCGUUCGCGUGAACAGCGCGCCCAACACAUUUAGGAGGGGAGUUUGGCUGGGGCGGCACAUCUUCUACAAGACAACGAAGGUGUCCAAAGAUAAGCUCAGUGAGAACAGAAAUCUCACGUAGCGCAAAAGGGUAAAAGCUUGUUUGAUUUUGAUUUUCAGUGUGAGUUGAAAACGCGAAAGCGUGGCCUAUCGAUCCUUUCACGAUUCGAGAUUUGAAGCGAGAGGUGUCAGAAAAGUUACCACAGGGAUAACUGGCUUGUGGCGGCCAAGCGUUCAUAGCGACGUCGCUUUUUGAUCCUUCGAUGUCGGCUCUUCCUAUCAUUGCGAAGCAGAAUUCGCCAAGUGUCGGAUUGUUCACCCGCCAACAGGGAACGUGAGCUGGGUUUAGACCGUCGUGAGACAGGUUAGUUUUAUCCUACCGAUGAGUUGUUGCCGCGGCAGUAAUAUAUGGCAGUACGAGAGGAACGCAUAUUUCACACCACUGGUUCAUGCAGCUGCCUGAGCAGGCAGUGCUGCGAAGCUACCGUGUGAAUGAUCAGAAUAGCUGAGAGAGUCUAAGCUAGGAUCGGUUCUGCUCAGCGGCGACUUAUUUGUAUCCGCCUCGACACUGUGUACAGAUAGCCUUCGGGCGAGCACCAUUGGGCGUAAGCUUAUCGUCGUGCGUUUUAGCGGAUGUAAAAUCACCUGCAGAUGACUGGGUUGGGACUGGAGCGUGUACAGCGUUGAGAGAUCUUGUUAUCUCGAUUCCUUGAGCGUAUCUGAGUCCUUACGAUUUGUUU